RNAcentral lists this ribosomal RNA (164 nucleotides) under uncultured bacterium. Its description in RNAcentral is "partial 16S rRNA". It matches the Rfam family "Bacterial small subunit ribosomal RNA", at positions 355 to 511 of the family's 1533-position model. The record is from RNAcentral.
UAGGGAAUCUUCGGCAAUGGACGGAAGUCUGACCGAGCAACGCCGCGUGAGUGAAGAAGGUUUUCGGAUCGUAAAACUCUGUUGUUAGAGAAGAACAAGGGUGAGAGUAACUGUUCACCCCUUGACGGUAUCUAACCAGAAAGCCACGGCUAACUACGUGUCAG